GACGAACGCUGGCGGCGUGCUUAACACAUGCAAGUCGAACGGUAAGGCCUUUCGGGGUACACGAGUGGCGAACGGGUGAGUAACACGUGGGUGAUCUGCCCUGCACUUCGGGAUAAGCCCGGGAAACUGGGUCUAAUACCGGAUAGGACUGCGCGGUGCAUGCCGUGUGGUGGAAAGAUUUAUCGGUGCAGGAUGGGCCCGCGGCCGAUCAGCUUGUUGGUGGGGUAAUGGCCUACCAAGGCGACGACGGGUAGCCGGCCUGAGAGGGCGACCGGCCACACUGGGACUGAGACACGGCCCAGACUCCUACGGGAGGCAGCAGUGGGGAAUAUUGCACAAUGGGCGCAAGCCGGAUGCAGCGGCGCCGCGUGAGGGAUGACGGCCUUCGGGUUGUAAACCUCUUUCGGCAGGGACGAAGCGUGAGUGACGGUACCUGCAGAAGAAGCACCGGCCAACUACGUG
Molecule: ribosomal RNA, 462 nt
Filed under: uncultured bacterium
Lineage: Bacteria
Description: partial 16S ribosomal RNA
Rfam family: Bacterial small subunit ribosomal RNA
Source: RNAcentral